AGAGAGCCACAGAGAGGGAGAGGCAGAGAGAAACCAGCAAUCUUUAAACUCGAGCUUUUUUUUCCCCCCCUUUCCCUCUUUUGCUUUUUUUCUAUUGUAACGAUGUGCUAAAAUCUCUCCUGCUAACCGGUAAGUACAACCUUUCUGGAUCCUUUUGUUUCCGCCUAGGGUCAAAGACACCCCCCUCUUCCAAAAAAAAGAUAUAAUAAUCCUCUUUAUUUAUUUUUUUAUUUUUAUUACAGCCCUUGCAGAAGAGAAAGAACUUAAUAUUUUGCAAAGGAGACAGAGAGACUGAUACUGCAAUAUAGCUCUCAUCUCUCUCCCUUCUCCCCAAUUAGAUGCUGGUUUUAAUUGCAGAGGGUAUUUCUCUUUUCGUGCUUUCAACCAUCUCCUCUUUCCCACAGGGGAGGGUUUCAUUUGCAAGUUGAUCCUAAGGAUUUCUGUUCCUCUGGCAUUUCUCUCCCCUAAAUGCAUCUUUCUGCUCUUAAGUUUGUGGAUGGGGGGCAAAUUUUUCUAGUUCUUGCACGAGGAAGGCAAAAAGGACCUUUUCUAUUGAGAGAUUAAGACUAAAAGCAACGAUCGCUCCGAAUGAUUCUAAUGGGCAUUUCAGGGAUUCAAGGAAGGGCUGCAUCACCACCGUUAUUAUUACCAUCCUUAGCGUUUCUCUGUGCCCAUACAUUUAAAAUAUCUGGUGAAAGGAAGGGUGAAACCAUAUGUUGAAGGAGCUGCAUCUCAUUAGUGCAGCAUUAUUUUCAUCUGAUUGGAGAAGAAUGGUGUCUUCAUUCGGGAACGUAUAUAGUAGGAUAGCAAAUUUAUCGGCUGGUAAGUGUCAAGGUAUUUUUUUUUUCCUUCCACUUUCAGCUUUUUAACCGGGUCUCCUGCUUGGUCCUGGGGGCACAAAAUGCCCUAAUCCAAGGCAGGCUGAGCGUUUCAAUCCUAGGUGCCUCUUUAGCUGUCACUUCCCUUUAGAUCUGCUGAUCGCAUGGGCAUGUGCUUUAGAAAGAUUAAUCAUCUCUAAACGCUUUAAUCAGCUAAAAUGACUAAUAUGUGGUGUGUAUUUAUCUGAUAAUAUACCAGUUGCAUUAAUUCACCGGCGCAUUUGCGAGGGGAAGCUUCCCUUUCGAAUCAGGGCUGUUAACCAUUUACUCCGGUAAAGAUACUGUGGGGAUUUCUGAGGGGAUCCGUUCUGCCAGGGACAUCAGCAAACCCUGCACACUCCUCUGAACUUACGUGUGGAAUAUAUUGAGCUGGGAGGGAGAGGGGUUCGAGGGUUGAGGCUCAAUAACUUUGGGAGUUUGCAUGGAUGAAGGAUGGAGUGCGACACCAGAGAAAUCUGCCCACUGGUGUUUUCCCCCCCCUGUAGCCAAUGCGGGCUGUGAUGGCUACAAAGCACCCGAGUGUGAGAUCCGUGGAGUUCCAAACGCUGGUCCUACGGUGGAAAUCAUGUAGAGAUGCAACACGUCCAUCCUGUGUGUGCUCGUGUUGCUGUGUGGGGCUGCAUGUGCUGUCCCCUUUAUAGGUGGCAUUUACCACGGGGAGGGGGAGAAGGGAGGCUGCUAUCGCGUGAUGGAACCGUCUACCAUCUCUUAAGUAUAAAUCAGGGCAAGGCUCGCCCAUCCCACACCCCUGGAGUUGGUUGUGAACGUCUGCCCAACAAUUGCUGAACUUUCCAAGAGCCUAACACGAGUCUGGCAGGUAGGGGCUUAAAUAAAAGGAGCGGGGCAGAAGUACUGAAAUCUGCAUUUUUCUUCCCGUUGCAGUUUUGUAAACACCAUCAAAUGAUGAAACCGUCCACAGCAGAGACACUUCAUAAAGGAAGGAUGUUGUGGAUAAUUCUUCUAAGCACAAUUGCUCUAGCAUGGACUACACCUAUCCCCUUGAUAGAGGACUCGGAGGAACUGGAUGAGCCCUGCUUUGAUCCAUGUUACUGUGAAGUGAAGGAGAGCCUUUUCCAUAUACAUUGUGACAACAAAGGAUUUAUAAAUAUUAGUCAGAUAACAGAGUCGUGGUCGAGACCUUUUAAACUUUAUCUGCAGAGGAAUUCCAUGAGGAAAUUGUACACCAACAGUUUUCUUCACUUGAACAAUGCUGUGUCUAUUAACCUUGGGAACAAUGCACUGCAGGACAUUCAGACGGGGGCUUUUAAUGGGCUCCGAGUUCUGAAGAGGUUGUAUUUGCACGAAAACAAAUUGGACAUUUUCAGGAACGACACUUUCCUGGGUUUGGAAAGUCUGGAAUAUCUGCAGGCAGAUUACAAUGUCAUUAAACGGAUUGAAAGCGGGGCAUUUCGAAACCUAAGUAAAUUGAGGGUCCUUAUCCUAAAUGACAAUCUCAUCCCCAUGCUUCCCACCAAUUUAUUUAAGUCUGUGUCCUUAACCCACUUGGACUUGCGCGGGAACCGGCUAAAAGUCCUUUCGUACCGCGGGAUGUUGGACCAUAUUGGCAGGAGCCUGAUGGAGAUCCAGCUGGAGGAGAACCCGUGGAACUGUACGUGUGAGAUCGUGCAGCUGAAGAGCUGGUUGGAGCGCAUCCCCUACACUGCUCUGGUGGGGGACAUCACCUGCGAGACCCCCUUCCACUUCCACGGGAAGGACCUGAGGGAGAUCAAGAGAAGCAAGCUGUGUCCCAUGCUGUCCGACUCCGAGGUGGAAGCCAGCCUGGGCAUCCCUCAGCUGUCGUCCAGCAAGGAGAACGCGUGGCCUACGAAGCCUUCCUCCAUGCUGUCCUCCUUCCAUUUCACCGCCUCCUCUGUUGAGUACAAAACGUCCAACAAGCAGCCCAAGCCCACCAAGCAGCCCAGGGCACCCCGGCCUCCCCCGACCCCCCGCGGCCUGUACCCCGGGCCCAACCAACCCCCCGUGGCUGCUUACCAGACCCGGCCCCCCAUCCCCAUCAUCUGUCCCACCGGCUGCUCUUGUAGUUUGCACAUCAACGACCUGGGCCUGACGGUCAACUGCAAGGAGCGAGGGUUCCACAACAUCUCCGAGCUCCUGCCCAGGCCCUUGAACGCCAAGAAGUUGUACCUGAGCGGGAAUUUGAUCCAGAAAAUCUACCGCUCCGAUUUCUGGAAUUUUUCCUCCUUGGAUCUCUUACACCUGGGGAACAACCGGAUCUCCUACGUGCAGGACGGGGCGUUCAUCAACCUGCCCAACCUCAAGAGCCUGUACCUGAACGGGAACGACAUCGAGCGGCUCACCCCGGGCAUGUUCCGGGGCCUGCAGAGUUUGCAUUACCUGUACUUCGAGUACAACCUGAUCAGGGAAAUCCAGCCGGCGGCCUUCAGCCUCAUGCCCAACCUGAAGCUCCUCUUCCUCAACGACAACCUGCUCCGCACUCUGCCCACCGACGCCUUCGCCGGCACCUCCCUGGCGCGCCUCAACCUGCGCAACAACCACUUCCUGGCGCUGCCGGUGGCCGGGGUGCUGGAGCACCUGCACGCCAUCGUGCAGAUCGACCUGAAGCUCAACCCCUGGGACUGCACCUGCGAGCUGGUGCCGCUCAAGCAGUGGCUGGAGGCGCUCAGCUCGGUCAGCGUGGUGGGCGAGGUGCUGUGCGCCAGCCCCGAGCCGCUGGCCCGCCGCGACCUGCGCUCCCUGGAGCUGGCCGCGCUGUGCCCCGCCGCCCUGCGCCCCGCCGCCGCCGCCGCCUCGCCCCCCGCCGCCCCUCCGCCGCCCGCGGCCACCGGCGCGGCCGCCUACGAGCUGCCCCCGGCCGCGGCCGCCGCCGCCGUGCCGCUGUCCGUGCUCAUCCUCAGCCUGCUCGUCCUCUUCUUCUCCGCCGUGCUGGUGGCCGCCGGGCUCUUCGCCUUCGUGCUGCGGCGCCGCCGGAGGAAGCUGCCGUUCCGCGGCCCGCGGGCGGAGGCGGCGGACCUGGGCGCGGUGCCGCUGCGCUGCCCGAGGCUCUUUCCCGAGGGUGGCGGCGGCGGCGGCGGCGGCGGGGGGGGCACCGGCGAGCGGUCCCCGGAGAAGGCGCCCCCGGCGGGCCACGUCUACGACUACAUCCCGCACCCGGUGACCCAGAUGUGCAACAACCCCAUCUACAAGCCGCGGGAGGAGGAGGAGGCGGCGGGCGGCGGCGGCGGCGGCGGAGGUGGAGGUGGAGGGGAGGCGGCCGAGCUGCUGCGGGGCGGCGGCGAGCGCGGCUUCGCCCACCCCGCCGCCCCCGCCGCCGCGCCGGAGCCCGGCAGCUGCUACCGCACCUUGCUGGAGAAGGAGCAGGAGUGGAGCCUGGCCGUGUCCAGCUCGCAGCUCAACACCAUCGUGGCCGUGCACCCCCAGCACCCCGCGGGCGGAGGGCUGGCGGCGGGCGCGCUCGGGGCGGCGGCGGCGGCGGCGGGGGGAGCCCCGCGGGACCGCGACCGCCCGCCGCCCUGCGCCGUGGGCUUCGUGGACUGCCUGUACGGCACCGUGCCCAAGCUGAAGGAACUGCACGUCCACCCCCCCGGCAUGCAAUACCCGGACCUGCAGCAGGACGCCAGGCUGAAGGAGACGCUCCUCUUCGCGGCCGGCAAGGGCUUCCCGGACCACCAAACCCCCACAAGCGAAUACCUCGAGUUAAGGGCCAAACUCCAAACCAAGCCGGAUUACCUCGAAGUCCUGGAGAAGACCACGUACCGGUUCUGACCGCCGCCCCGCCGCCCGCCCGGCCCCGCCGCCCGCGGGCAGAGGAUACAGCUGUGCGCUCUGCCCCGCCAGAUGUGCGCGCUGCGGGGCAGGGCCCUUCUCAGAUCAGUAAUCGACGAAGUGCCUUCGCAGACUUUUGCCAGCAGAUGUUAAUCAAUCAUUAUUUUUUAUACUGAAACUGAGACUUUGACUGUGCCAUGUCAUAAAGGUAUAUUAUUAUUAUUAUUAUAUUAUUAUUAUGGGGGAUCUUUGUAUUGAUCCUGAUUAAGUAAAUUCUAUGUGUGUGUCUCUCUCUCUUUUUUCUUUUCCUUUAUCCUUUUUCUUUUAUUUUCUUUAUUCUUGUCGUUUGUUUUGUUUGUUGGCUUUUUUUUUUUUUUUUUUUUUUUACUUUUUUUUUCUCCGUUGCGAGUAAACUUCCUUGAUAUUUUCCCUUGGAGGGGAGGGGGAGGGAAGAUGGCAUUUUGUGGCUUGCUUUCUUCUUGCCCAUCAUGGCACAGAUUCUGUACAUUUAUUUAAAAGAAAAAAAAAAAUGCAAAGAAGCAAACGAGCGCAGUUUGCUGCAUGCCUGGAAACUGCAAGAGGGAAGGGAGGGGAGGGUCUUGCUCGAAUGUCUCACUCUUGUCUCUCUCCCUCCCUCGCACGCACACUCACCCUCACCCUCCCCGCACCCCCCCGCCAGCCCGGCCCCCCGGCGCAGGGCGGCAGCGGGGCCCGGGGGCCGCGGGGGGAAUCCCGUGGGCUGGGGGAAACCCCCCCUCCCCGGAGCCGAGCAGCCCAAAGGAUGUCACCACGUGGCGCACACACCUAGGGGAUGCUCAGUGACACUUCAUCAUGACGCCAUGGUUUUUUGGAGGACAUCCGCACCUUCCUAAUAAAAGCAACAUGCAAAUAUACAGAAAAAGGGAAAAAAAAAAAAAGAAGCUACUGGGCACCUCUCACUAACAGCUUUGUAGGAAGCACUUUUAAUGUUUUCUCUCAUGCACACAUACACGCACACAAACACACACACAAAGGUACAACAAUGUGCAUAUAUUUAUUCUGUAAUUUCAAGUGAAUAUAAAUUGUAAAGGUAAUGUUUAAUCAUUGUACAGUGAUGCGUCUGGUAUAGCUUUCCUAAUAAAACGUUUUGAAAAACAAUGCAUAUAUAUAUAUAUAUAUAUACAACCCCAAAUAUAUAUAUAUAUAUAGGAAUACAAAGCUUGAACCUGAAACUUCAGCUUCCCCCACGGAGAUUUCCUUCCCUCCCAUAACCUUGAACGCUAUUUUAUUAAUAACAGUUCGAUGCACUGUGAUGUUAACAGAGAAAAAAAAACCCUGUACAGCGUCUCUUGCCAAGAUACCACCCGAGACUGUCACAAAUCCGAUUUGCGAUCUGUAUCCCUGCUGUGCUCUGCUGAUAGUUAAAAAUACCGGGAAAAUUGGGAGCGCAUCCCGCCGGAGCGCUGGCUCCCGGCCUGCUGGAGGCACCGAGGCUUCGCUGGGGUGCCCCCGGCGCUCGCAGCCGCAGUCCGUGCGGGGCGAGCGGUCAAAAUGCACAGGAGAGGGGGUGAAUUAAACGGCAUUUCCAGUUUGGAAUGGGGUGAUGCGAUCUGGAAAGGCACCUCUCCCCGCUCCCGCCGCAAGCGGAGCGAGACCAAAGACGAUCGGAUUUCCCUGCCCCCGGGGGGCAGGUCCCGGUUGGUAUCUUGUCCCCGUUGGUGUGCUGUCCUUGUUGUCCCCACCGUGUCCCCGCCGGUGUUGUGUCCCCGCCGGCCCCGGGACGGGCGCGGUGCGCGGCCCCGCGCGGCCGCCAGGUGGCACCGGCGCUCCAGCGCUGGGGCGGGAGCGCGCACGGACCCGCUCCUGGAGCCGCCUCUGGAGCCGCUCCUGCAUCCCGACCCCGCUCCCGGGCCGGACCCGCUCCCGACCCCUCUCGUGCCCCCCGCCCGCCCCGCUGAAUGUACCCCCGGGCGCCUUAUACCGGGGCGGGGCACGGCCUGCGCCGCCCCGAAGUUCUUCAAAUAGCGAUUUUUAUACAGAAACCCCCAAUCUAUCCAUAAAUAUAAUUUGUCUGAGCAGCGGUCAGGGUGAUGUAUCCAGGUGUGUGGAGGUUAUUCGCCCGCUGAGCUCCAAAGGUGCUGCCCGGAGCGCUCCUGCCGCUGUCCUGAGGGGACCGGGAUUUGUCACCUCCCCGCCCCAAGGUCACUCUCCCGACCAUCCGCCCUCCUCCCUCUGGGGAACAGCUCGGUUUCACCCCGCACAAUGUGUUUUAACAGAGAUAAACCCAUAAAUACUUGUUUCCCCCCCCCCCCCCCCCAGUGUUGCUAUUUACAGCUCCAGCCAGGAUGCUCCUUGUAGGCUUUUUGCAUUCAUCUGUCUUGGAGAGUCAUGGUAGUAGCUGUGGGUGUCUGGAGACACAGGGACAGCUCCCAACGUCUGUAAACCCAGCAUCAUCUCCACUACAUCAGUAAAAAUGUCACCCAUUUGAAUUUCUUCUGUUGAGUUGAUACCGUGUUUUCUCACUGCUGCCUUCAGCUCUAAUCCCUUGGGGUUGGUUCAUUCGUUUGCUUUGUUGUUUGUUUUGUUGUUUGUUUUUUUUUUAAUGGAUAAUAGAAGAGCAUGCACGUGCUAAAGGUGUGAAACAUGCAAGUGCAAAGGCCAGAUCCUCCUCAUCAUAAUUGUAAGAAUUACAUCCAUGAGCCUACAUGCAAAGUAAUGUGGAGCUGUAUAAAUCAGGUUAAAGUACAACCCCCAGUGAGAGUGGUGCUGUAAACAUUUGGCAAUGUCACCAAACCCCCAAGUGUUCAUACUUGUAUCCAAAUAGAGUAAACAUUGCAAAUAAUGUUUAUAUUUUAAUUAAACUGCAGAAAGGCAAGAGAAUUUCAACAUAACUAUAGGCAGUAAUCUCGCCCGUGGACGGUGAGCAGAUCUAUUUAUUCAGUGGAAAAUAAAUUUGUUCUAUGAGAAUGGAAUUUUGUAUUAAAAGAGAUAAUUUUUGGCUUAUGUUGAGUUAUUUUUCUUUCCUUGCGUAGGAAACUUCCUUUUCCUUGUGUAUUGAGAUGAUUUGGGGAUGAAUUGCUCUGCAAGUGUUGACAAUAUUUAAGGGACAAUUCAAUCUGGAAGUGUUGACAAUGUUUAAAGGGAUAAUUCGCUUUGGAAUUGUUGACAAUAUUUAAGUGUGAUGUCUAAAGGGUGUUUUGAUGACUCUUAUUUUGCUGUUUCAUUGUGUUGAGCUGAGGCUGAGUGGGUGGCAGCAGUGCUUUCCACUGCAGGAAACUAAAAUGGAUCCAUCAUCUCCGAUCUCUGAUAGGUGACUCUUUACCUGGGUUACACCUAAUUAUUAGGUAUUAUUAAUGCUAAUUAUAUCAUUAUCAGCAGUAUUCUUGGUAGCAUUCAUGAUACUGGGAAGGAAUCAAAUAAAGUCAAAGUGAUCUGCAGUUACAUUAGAGCUGUUUGACGGGAUACUAUUUUAAAUAAAUAUUUUUUUAGCUUAUUUCAUUGUUGUACAAGUACCUGGUGUUGGCUUGAGCAGUUCAGCCUGUGAGGGUGCUGGUAGCAAAGUUUUCAGCAUGUAUUUGGUCUAUUCACUCAUUGACUAUAUUGAAAUUCUUCCUACAGGUGGAAAAGAACAGCAAGGCCAGUGACCCAAAACCCCUGGCUGCUUUGGAAAGUGGAUAGUAUUGGCAAGCAAAGAAAUAUGGCAAGUAAAGAGUGGUGUACUGCACCUCAAGACUUCCCUCUGUACCAACUGGAUUGCCCACCUGGCCCUCGGCUCUGUAGCAGCCCCCCGAGGUUGGCCCCGGUGGUGUGACGGGCCCCGUGCUCUGCCAGCCCCUCCGAGCCAACCAAAGCCUGUCACAGCCUUCAGAGCACAAAUCCCUGGGCAGAUGGAUCCCUAACAGCUACACUUCAGGGAGAAAAGUGGAGAUGCUCCUAAAAUUAGUUGCUGACAGCUCAAAGGAGGAGUAACUGCCUCCCGUGUCGUUACUUCUUCUGGAACGGGGACGUGUGUUAUGGAAAUGCUGACACUGGGUUUGUACAGUAUGUACACAUGUGCUGUGUGUGUAUCUAAGUGUGUACCCAUGAAUGCACUGUUACAGUGUAGGAUCAGAUUGCUGGAAAGUUCUGGGGGGUUCAGGAGCAUGGCUUGCUUUGGACUGUUAUUAAAAUAUGGGCAUUUUGGUAACGAAGCUAAAAAUAGCCACUUUACGACCUACAUUCCCAAUGUAGGUCAGUGGAGGCACUUCUCAGACAUAUUAGCAUUUUGGACACUUAAUCUUAGCAGCAUAUUGCAUCUCCUAGAAUAGGUUAGUAGAGGCAAGGCAGGAGGAAUUGCUGCAUCUCGAGUCGUUCCGAAAGGUUGCCAAGUUUCUCAGGAACCAGAGCGGCAGAAUAAUGAGGAUUAUAUUUAAUUUGGGAUGGAGAGGCAACCGUGGGGUGUUCAGCAGAGGCAGCUGGGAUCAUCUUGGCUCUGUGGGGGAGGGAGAAUUUAUAACUCUAGCUAGCUAAAAAGCAAGCUGUGUGUGCAUUUGUGUGUAUAUAUAUAUAUAUUUAUAUAUAUGUAUAUACAAAUCUGUGUAUGUGUAUAUAGCACUGUGUGUAUAUAUGUAUGUAUGUAUAUGCCUAAAAUGUAUUAUAUGUGUAUCUAUAGAUAUGUAUACAUUUAUAUGAAUUUAUAUUUCUCUAUAUAAAUAGUCAUGCAACUAUGGGAAGUCACAAUUCAACGGUGUGUCCUUUUUCUUUAAAACACAACAAAAAGCUGCUUCCAUUAAUAUCACAUUGGCACAAGUGUCCUAAGUUUUCUUUUCUCUUUAGAAAGGAGUGGUACUUGUGGCCGAGCACAAGCCUGGAAGGUUUUGACUCUUCCAGAGGGCUCAGAGUGAAUCAUUAUCUGCUCCACAGCCGUUCUACAUUUGUGACAUAAAAUGGUGGCCAAAAUGACUCAGGGCUAGUUUUGUAGGCAAACAAAGUGGGUUGUUGACUGUUUGGAAGUCUCUGUUAUGCUCAUGGAUUUUUGAUGGUGAAAUGUCUGCACUGAUAGUUAUUCUGGUUGCUGUUAAUGCCCAGCUAAUGCUAAUGGCUUGAACAGAGGAAAAAAAAGAUGAAUUUUCUGCUCUAAAGUAAGUUAUCUGAAGUCUGAUUACGUUGACUCAGUGAUGUAUGGAUUUCCAUUUAGGGGCAGGAUGUUGGGCUGUAAAUCAAGAAUCUCAGCUCAGUGAACAUCUAGUUUGGGAUGUCUUUUAUGUUAUAAUUGAUUUAAAAUCAUUUCAAUUCAUCAUCAGAACAAGCUAUACCUUAAUUCAUGAUAAGCUCAAAGGAUCCCUCAGCUGGAAACCCAUUCAUAGCAGGGUGAAUUUUGCACUUGUCUUCGUUGGGGUUGAAUCAGGUCAGAGAGUUUCAUUCAGCGCUGGCAUAAAAACAAUCUUGUAGCUGUGCAACUAUUAAUUCAAAUUGUAAUUUUGUAAUAAAAGCAACCUAAAAAUGA
This is an RNA transcript of Pseudopipra pipra, 10086 nucleotides long. It is a transcript of the gene named SLIT and NTRK like family member 3, with no coding region annotated. The record is from RefSeq and is a predicted model, not a curated record. The transcript is spliced from 3 exons. Lineage: Eukaryota; Metazoa; Chordata; Aves; Passeriformes; Pipridae.